AAAGUGCUACAAAAGAGUGGGCUAGCUGGGUGAAGAGACAAAUGGAGUUUGUUGGUUGUGCUGUGAAGAAGAAGAAGGAGUCAGUGCUGCAAGGAGGUGCCCAUGAGAAACCACCAAGAAGAGAAAAAUACCGCAGGAGCUAGAGCUUCAUGAUUUCUAUCAAAAGUGAUCAGUAGCAGAUGAGCUGCUACCCUACCAAGGGCUGGGAUUUACCUGCCAGACCUAACAAUGAAGAGAAGGGAAAGAAGAGGAAGCCUCCCCCCCACCCUCCAAUCAGUAGCUCAGUUAAUUUUAAACUGUUUAUUUCUCUGUAGGCUGAUUAAGUGCCAGAGUUGCAUAACAGCCUAAGAUACCUCAUUCCUGUAUAUUCAGAUGGCUACCCACAGACUGUUCUUGUGUAAUAAAGUGAAAUUGUGCUGGGAGGGAAACUGUCA
Long non-coding RNA from Zonotrichia leucophrys gambelii, 434 nucleotides. RefSeq lists it as uncharacterized. Lineage: Eukaryota; Metazoa; Chordata; Aves; Passeriformes; Passerellidae. The record is from RefSeq and is a predicted model, not a curated record. The transcript is spliced from 3 exons.